This 301-nucleotide ribosomal RNA is filed under the name uncultured bacterium. RNAcentral's name for it is "partial 16S ribosomal RNA". It matches the Rfam family "Bacterial small subunit ribosomal RNA", at positions 509 to 807 of the family's 1533-position model. The record is from RNAcentral.
CAGCCGCCGCGGGAAUACGAAGGGUGCAAGCGUUAAUCGGAAUUACUGGGCGUAAAGCGUGCGUAGGCGGUUUGUUAAGUCUGUUGUGAAAUCCCCGGGCUCAACCUGGGAAUGGCAAUGGAUACUGGCAAGCUAGAGUGUGUCAGAGGAUGGUGGAAUUCCCGGUGUAGCGGUGAAAUGCGUAGAGAUCGGAAGGAACAUCAGUGGCGAAGGCGGCCAUCUGGGACAACACUGACGCUGAAGCACGAAAGCGUGGGGAGCAAACAGGAUUAGAUACCCCUGUAGUCCCUGUCUCUUAUAC